GUAGUACUCCCUCCGUCCGGAAAUACUUGUCAUCAAAACGGACAAAAAAGGAUGAAUCUAGAACUAAAAGACAUUUAGAUACACCCUUUUUGUUCAUUUUGAUGACAAGUAUUUCCAGACGGAGGGAGUAGCGG
Triticum aestivum (bread wheat) is the source of this 134-nucleotide non-coding RNA. NCBI's taxonomy places the organism in Eukaryota, Viridiplantae, Streptophyta, Magnoliopsida, Poales, Poaceae. The record is from Rfam.